Long non-coding RNA from Strigops habroptila (Kakapo), 446 nucleotides. RefSeq lists it as uncharacterized. The transcript is spliced from 4 exons. The record is from RefSeq and is a predicted model, not a curated record. Lineage: Eukaryota; Metazoa; Chordata; Aves; Psittaciformes; Psittacidae.
AGGAACAGAUGCCAGAGGAGGUGGAGGAAUAGAAAGGACAGGCUGCUGCUACCCCUGACAAGAAUCACCUUAGGAGAUCACGGGAUUCCGUUAUACUGACGAUAACCCAUGGUUAUUCACAUCCGAGCACUGAUCCCUAGUGAAGCUGGGAUGAAGAUUUCAGAGCACCUAAAGGGGUGAUACUGCUGCGGCGGUGGCUGUGGAGGUGAGCUGUGGACAAUCAGCGGGGCAGAAUCAGGCCCAGAGGUGGAGAGGGGAAGGACGCAGCAGCUCUCUCCUCCGCAGGAAGUGGAUGGUGUUUAUGGCUUCUCCUCACCGUUGCAGAGUAAGGCUUCAAUUUUGGUUUUGCCACAAGCAUAUUUUGUGAUGUAGUUUUGUUUGUAUGAAUAUGCUUUCCUACUUCAAUAUUGUGUUUUAUUUAAUGAGCUUAUAAGAUUUUAUUGGUA